This 1356-nucleotide long non-coding RNA is filed under the name Canis lupus familiaris (dog). RNAcentral describes it as "lncRNA (ENSCAFG00030003744.1)". The record is from RNAcentral. Lineage: Eukaryota; Metazoa; Chordata; Mammalia; Carnivora; Canidae.
AGGAACAUGAAGAUUUGAAAUCUUUUCAAUGUAACCUGGAGGAAAAUGUGUGAGAAGGAACUGAACUGGAUCUGACAUGGUGGCAUGUGAGGGGGCAGUCAGUGAGCCACAUGUGAUCCUACUUAUGGUUGAAUAAGUCAGACUUUGGAAACUCUGUCAACUAUUAUGGAUUGGCUUCCUGCAGCCAAGGUCCAUAUUAUAUUUUGCAUGGUGAGAAAUGGGAGAUCUUUCCUAAAUACUGUGCUUGUUCCCACCAUCAGUCAUCCUCAAGGAGGAAAUGUGGUCCCUAAGUAGAGAAGGCCAGUCUUUUACUCUGGCUGGGUCUGGGAAAGAGAGGGAAAGCCCAUAGUCUGGCAGUGAAAAGAUAAAAACUGUUGAAAGGGCUCCUAACUCUGGGAGGAAAGCUGUCAUUCUACAACACAAUGGCCAACUGAAGAUCACUGGUAGGGAAACUCUCUAUGGUAAAGUAUUGCCAGUAGAUACAAGGGCAAUGAUGACUAAAAUUUUGUUUUAAAUAAUCAUCUUUUCCUGUGUUCUAGUUUCUUUUAUCUCUAAGUCAGCAAUUAUACUGAUGAACACUAAAGACUCAGGUUAGCUGUGCUUUGGGAUUUUAGGGAGGUGCCUACAUCUACACUUGGCACAAAGUGUUAGUGGAUACCCUGGGCAGAAUGGAGAAAAGAUUUUGAGAUAGUAGGAAGAGAUCCUGUGAGAAACAUAGUAGUGGUCUGAGUAAGAGAUGACAAGAAGCAAUAAUGAUAUAUUUGUGGAGGCAUGUAAGCAUUUCCCAAGGAAUCUUAGACUGUUAGUGUAUAGAAAUGUAACUGAUUUCUGUGCAUUGAUUUUGUAUCCUGCCACAUUGCUGAAUUGCUGAGUAAGUUCUAGUAAUCUUGGGAUGGAGUCUUUUCAGUUUUCUUUAUAUAAUACCAUGUCAUCUGAGAAGAGGGAGAUUUUGACUUCUUUUUGCCAAUUUGAAUGCUUUUAUUUCUUUUUGUUGUCUGAUUGCUGAGGCUAGGACCUCUAGUACUAUGUUGAACAACUGUGGUGAGAGUGGGCAUUCCUGUUGUGUUCCUGACCUUAGGGGAAAAAAAAUCUCAGUUUUGCUUCCACUGAGAAUGAUAUUCUCUGUGGGCUUUUUGUAGAUGGCUUUUAAGAUAUUGAGUUAUAUUAUUCCCUCUAUCCCUACACUUUGAAGAGUUUUAAUCAGGAAAGGGUGCUGUAUUUUCUCAAAUGCUUUCUCUGCAUUUAUUGAGAGGAUCUUAUAUUUCUUGUCUUUUCUUUUAUUAAUGUGACCUAUCAUGUCAAUUGAUUUACAAAUGUUAAACUACCCUUACAUCCCAGGAAUAUUUCCCACUUGGU